RNAcentral lists this transfer RNA (78 nucleotides) under Chloroflexota bacterium. RNAcentral's name for it is "Chloroflexi bacterium tRNA-Asp". It matches the Rfam family "tRNA". From Rfam's summary of the family: Transfer RNA (tRNA) molecules are approximately 80 nucleotides in length. The record is from RNAcentral. Lineage: Bacteria; Bacillati; Chloroflexota.
GGUCCCGUGGGGGAGCCUGGAGUUCCCGUCGCCCUGUCAAGGCGAAGAGCGCGAGUUCAAAUCUCGUCGGGACCGCCU